RNAcentral lists this ribosomal RNA (460 nucleotides) under uncultured bacterium. RNAcentral's name for it is "partial 16S ribosomal RNA". It matches the Rfam family "Bacterial small subunit ribosomal RNA", at positions 338 to 795 of the family's 1533-position model. The record is from RNAcentral.
CCUACGGGAGGCAGCAGUGAGGAAUAUUGGUCAAUGGACGCAAGUCUGAACCAGCCAUGCCGCGUGCAGGAAGACGGCUCUAUGAGUUGUAAACUGCUUUUGUACGGGGGUAAACUCAGAUACGUGUAUCUUUCUGAACGUAUCGUACGAUUAAGGAUCGGCUAACUCAGUGCCAGCCGCCGCGGUAAUACGGAGGAUACAAGCGUUAACCGGAUUUAUUGGGUUUAAAGGGUACGUAGGCUGGCGGAUAAGUUAGGGGUGAAAUCCCGGGCGUCAACUUCGGAAUUGCCUCUGAUACUGUCAGGCUAGAGAGUAGUGGCGGUAGGCGGAAUGUAUGGUGUAGCGGUGAAAUGCUUAGAGAUAAGAAAGAACACCGAUGGCGAAGGCAGCUUACCAAGUUACGUCUGACGUUGAGGCACGAAAGCGUGGGGAGCAAACAGGAUUAGAUACCCGUGUAGUC